UAGAAUGGUCUUGUUUAUAUCUAUAGGAAUCUUGCUUGGAUUUUGAUAGGAAUUGCAUUAAAUUUUCAUAUAAGAUCAGGGGAAAUUGCCAUCUUUACUAUGUUGAGUCUUCUAAUCCAUGAACACAGUUUGUCUCUCCAUUUAUUUAGAUCUUAUAUUCUUUCACCGGUGUUUUGUAGUUUUUAGCAUGUAAGUCUUGUACCUGUUUUUGUGAUGUUUACACCUAAAUAUUUCAAUUUUUUGAGUGAUUAUAAAUGGUAGCUUUUAAAAUUUAUUUUGAGAGAGAGAGAGCAUGUGAAUGAGCAGAGAGAGAGGGGAGAGAGAAUCCCAAUCAGGCUUCCCCAACAAGGGGCUCCACCUCAUGACUGUGAGAUCAUGACCUGAGCUGAAGUUAAGAGUAGACACUUAACCCAGGCACCCCAAUGGUAUUUUAUUUUAUUUUACUAUUAUUAUUUUUAAAUUUUAUUUAUUUUUGAGAGAGAGAAGGAACACAAGCAAGGGAAGGGCAGAGAGAGAGGAAGACGGAGGAUACAAAGCAGGCUGUGUGCUGACAGCAGACAGACCAUUGUGGGGCUUGAACUCAAAAACCUCAAGAUCAUGACCUGAGCCAAAGUCGGGUGCUUAAAUUACUGAGCCACCCAGGUGCCCCAUGUUGGAACCCACAUGUUAAUUGAUAGUAGAUAGAAACAGUUGACUUUAAUAUGCUGAUUUUGUAUCCUGUGACCUAAAGGAACCCACUUAUUAGUUGUAGGAGGUUUUUUGUACAUUCCUUAGAAUUUUCUAUGUAGACAAUUAUGUCAUCUGCAAAUAGGGACAGUUUUAUUUAUUCAUUUUUUUUCUUGAUCUGUAUGCUUUUUUCUUUUCUUUUCUUGCUUUAUUGCUCUGGCUAGAAACUCUAGCACUGUGUUGCAUGAGAAUGGUGAGAAUGGAUGUUUUUACCUUGUUCCUGAUCUUAGGUGAAAAGCAUUAUCAUUCACCAUUAAGUUUAAUUUUAUCUAGGGGCAGCUGGGUGGCUCAGUCAGGUAAGCAUCUGACUCUUGAUUUCGCAUCAGGUCAUGAUCUCAAAGUUUGUGAGAUCGAGGCCUGCAUCAGGCUCUGUACUAACAGAGCUUGGGAUUCUCUCUCCCUCUCUCUCUGCCAGUCCCUGCUCACGAGCACACAUGCAUAUACUCUCUCUCUGUCUCAGAAUAAACAUAAAAAAAAAAGUAUAAUGUUAUCUGUAGGUUUUUUGUAGAGGCUCUUGAUCAAAUGAAGGAAGUUCCAUUCUAGUCAUGUCUUUCUGAGCAUUUUUAUCGUAAGUGUGUACUAAAUUUUGUCAAAUGAUUUUUCUGCAUCAAUUGAUAUUAUCAUGCAUUUUUCCUCAUUUUUACCCUGUUAAUAUGGCAAAUGACAUUGAUUUUCAAAUAUUAAACCAAUCGCGCAUCCUCCCAGGAAUAAACCCCACCAGUAUGGUCUGUAAUUCUCUAUGUAUAUGUAUAUGUAUGUAUGCAUAUAUGUGUGCAGAUGUAUGUUUACAUGUGUAUAUAUGUGGAUGUCUGAAUUUUGUCAAUAUUUUGUUCAGGAUCUUUAUAUCUGCAUUCAUGAAGUAUAUUGUUCUGUAGUUACCUUUUAAUGUACUGUCUUUGUCUGGUCUGGUGUCAGGGUAAUAGCUUCAUAAAAUGACUUAGAAAGCAUUCCUUCUUCUAUUUUCUGGAAGAAACAAGAAUUUAUGUCUAAUUGGCAUAAGUUCUUCUGGUAGUUGGCACCUGUUUUUUUGUUCAGUUUGAGAUCUUCCUGGUUCUUGGUAUGUUGACUGAAUUUCAGUCGAAAUGGAGACAUUUGAAGUAUUAUGAGACUGUGAGGGGCACCUGGGUGGCUCAGUCGGUUGAGUGUCCAAUUCUUGGUUUCAGCCCAGGUCCCGAUCUUCUGGUUCGUGAAUUUGAGCCCUGUGUCAGGUCCCAAGCUGACAGUGCGGAGCCUGCUUGGGAUUCUCUCUCUCACUCUUUCUCUGCACAUCCCCUGCUCCCUUUCUCUGUCUAUCUAAAUAAGUAAAUAAACUUUAAAAAGAAAAAGACUCUGAAUCUUAUUUAAACCUUCUGAUUUAGCUGGCUUCUUCUGAUAGCACUCCAGCAAGGAAGAGGUGCAGAUGGGAAUGCUACCUCAUUAUUCUCAGGUGGGGGUAGGAGUUCUCUAUUUACAGCUCUGUGGCCUCCUUGUUAUUGCUAGGCAGGGGUAUGUGUUCUGGCUUCCUGCUAGACCUCCACUGAAAUCUCCAUGGCUGGGGUGAGGAGCAGUGCCCUAUUACUGCUCUCCAUGUGACUUCUGUUGACACCAAGGUGGGGUGGAGAAAGUGACCUUGUAGCCAUUGUCCCUGUGCAAUGGUGAAGUUCUUGUAUUUCCACUAGGUCUCCCAUGACACCACCGUAACGGAAAUGGGAAAAACAUCACAUUACUGCAGGAUGGAAGUCCAGGCUCCCCACAUGAUUCAUACGGUCAUUGUGGAGCACGUCAUUUCCUAAUGUGAAGAAACUGAGGCGGAAGUAAUUAAGUGACUUGACCAAGUUCACACAUCAAAAUUUCUUGAAAAGGCCGAGGUCGGGACCAGGCUCUGAUGAAGUCGAUGACUCUCACAGCAGUAAACAAGACUCCUUUGAGAACUGCUGGCACAUAUCAAUUCCUGUUGAUGCUGAGGGCAAUGAGUCAUGACGACGCAUGGUGCACCUUCGGCAGAGCCGCCUGGCCAGGUAUGUUACUGAGUCCAGAGAACCAAACGCUCUGUCCUUGGAGACAAAGUUUUCCUUGACAAAGACAUUUUUUCACCAUUUGGCAAAUGAUGGUGGCUUUUCAAGUUGCCAAAAGGGGAUCCAAAAAAUUGGAAUACUUCUUGACUGGUACCGGUGUGCAAAUAAAGAAUGACAUAGCUGGUUGAAAGGAGAGGCGUCAGCAGUUUCAUCCAGUUGUUUGCCUAUUGAAGGAAAGCAGUUGAGGAGCCGGUUUACGGACUUGUUUCCAGAUAUUAGAAGAAACAUCAGUGAUUCUAAAGGGGAUCCUGCCUUUUGAAAUUGGCAUGUCUUCAGUUUUCGUCCUUUGCCCCAAGCAAUAAACCAUUUCAAAUAUUUCCAGGGUACAUGGCCUCAUUCAGUUUUCUGCAAUUUUGUGUGUGUUUGCUUGGCAUAAAAAAACAGGGAUGUUUUAAGGUUGCCCCAAGACAUAAUGUGCAAGUCCAAUUUUGUUAAAGUUUUGGCGCUUUAAAAUGAAGCAUUUUCUUAUGAAACAAUUUAUCCAAGUCCAAGCAUUUUCCUUUAAAAAUUACUUUAUUUUUAUUUUAUUUAUUUAUUUUUUUAACGUUUAUUUUGAGAGACAGAGAUACACAGAGCGUG
Molecule: long non-coding RNA, 3359 nt
Organism: Acinonyx jubatus (cheetah)
Lineage: Eukaryota; Metazoa; Chordata; Mammalia; Carnivora; Felidae
Exons: 3
Source: RefSeq, a predicted model, not a curated record